This 387-nucleotide transfer-messenger RNA is filed under the name Bradyrhizobiaceae bacterium. It matches the Rfam family "Alphaproteobacteria transfer-messenger RNA". From Rfam's summary of the family: Bacterial tmRNA, also known as 10Sa RNA or SsrA, is named for its dual tRNA and mRNA-like properties. Its role is to liberate the mRNA from a stalled ribosome. To accomplish this part of the tmRNA is used as a reading frame that ends in a translation stop signal. The record is from RNAcentral. Lineage: Bacteria; Pseudomonadati; Pseudomonadota; Alphaproteobacteria; Hyphomicrobiales; Nitrobacteraceae.
GCUCUUCCGCCGUCGCCCGUUACCCCCUAUAUUAGCUUUGCCGGCUUGCCGGCUAUGGCGAUAAAUGGCCGUCGUAAUAAACCAUUCGGACCCGGGGGCAGUACCCGGCGCCUCCACCAAUUCCAGGGCAGCCUGCCCGGUGACCGGUAAUCGGAUUACCACCGGCGGCUACCUGAUACGGGGGCGAAACAGGAUCGACGAGGGCGUAAAGGGCGCGCUUUUGCCCGGCAUGGUUCCGCCGUUAUCGGGCCACUGCAAUAGUUGCCAACGACAACUAUGCUCCGGUUGCUCAGGCCGCGUAAGCGGUUUGAAAGACCGACCUGAAGCCCUGGCGUCUUAGCAGCGUCAGGCGGGGUUCGGAGGCACCUGGCAACAGAAGCCUCCACU